This is a non-coding RNA of Desmophyllum pertusum, 72 nucleotides long. The record is from the annotation of a GenBank genome assembly. Lineage: Eukaryota; Metazoa; Cnidaria; Anthozoa; Scleractinia; Caryophylliidae.
UCUCCUGUAGCUCAGUGAUAGAGCGUCCGACCGGUGUGCCGAGGGUCAUAGGUUCGACUCCUGUUGGGAGAA